RNAcentral lists this ribosomal RNA (497 nucleotides) under uncultured bacterium. RNAcentral's name for it is "partial 16S ribosomal RNA". It matches the Rfam family "Bacterial small subunit ribosomal RNA", at positions 28 to 507 of the family's 1533-position model. The record is from RNAcentral.
GAUGAACGCUGGCGGCGUGCCUAAUACAUGCAAGUCGAGCGAACAGACAAUGAGCGUGCUCCUUUGCCGUUAGCGGCUGACGGGUGAGUAACACGUACGUAACCUACCAAUAUUACUUGGAUAACUACGGGAAACCGCUUCCGAUACCACAUAAUAUUUCGAACCGCAUAAUUCAGUAGUGAAAGAUAGCUUGGCUAUCACUUUUAGAUGAUCCCGCGCCGUAUUAGCUAGUUGGUAAGGUAAAGGCUGACCAAGGCGACGAUCCGUAGCCGACCUGAGAGGGUGAUCGGCCACACUGGAACUGAGACACGGUCCAGACUCCUACGGGAGGCAGCAGUAGGGAAUAUUCCGCAAUGGGCGCAAGCCUGACGGAGCCACGCCGCGUGAGUGAUGAAGGUCUUCGGAUCGUAAAACUCUGUUAUUAGGGAAGAACAACAGUGUGAGUAACUGUGCACGUCUUGACGGUACCUAAUCAGAAAGCAACGGCUAACUUCGUG